This 497-nucleotide ribosomal RNA is filed under the name uncultured bacterium. Its description in RNAcentral is "partial 16S ribosomal RNA". It matches the Rfam family "Bacterial small subunit ribosomal RNA", at positions 28 to 507 of the family's 1533-position model. The record is from RNAcentral.
GACGAACGCUGGCGGCGUGCCUAAUACAUGCAAGUAGAACGCUGAAGCGAGGAGCUUGCUCUUCUUGGAUGAGUUGCGAACGGGUGAGUAACGCGUAGGUAACCUGCCUUGUAGCGGGGGAUAACUAUUGGAAACGAUAGCUAAUACCGCAUAACAAUGGAUGACACAUGUCAUUUAUUUGAAAUGGGCAAUUUCUCCACUACAAGAUGGACCUGCGUUGUAUUAGCUAGUAGGUGAGGUAAUGGCUCACCUAGGCGACGAUACAUAGCCGACCUGAGAGGGUGAUCGGCCAAACUGGGACUGAGACACGGCCCAGACUCCUACGGGAGGCAGCAGUAGGGAAUCUUCGGCAAUGGGGGCAACCCUGACCGAGCAACGCCGCGUGAGUGAAGAAGGUUUUCGGAUCGUAAAGCUCUGUUGUAAGUCAAGAACGGGUGUGAGAGUGGAAAGUUCACACUGUGACGGUAGCUUACCAGAAAGGGACGGCUAACUACGUG